This 497-nucleotide ribosomal RNA is filed under the name uncultured bacterium. RNAcentral describes it as "partial 16S ribosomal RNA". It matches the Rfam family "Bacterial small subunit ribosomal RNA", at positions 28 to 507 of the family's 1533-position model. The record is from RNAcentral.
GAUGAACGCUGGCGGCGUGCCUAAUACAUGCAAGUCGAGCGAACAGACGAGGAGCUUGCUCCUCUGACGUUAGCGGCGGACGGGUGAGUAACACGUGGAUAACCUACCUAUAAGACUGGGAUAACUUCGGGAAACCGGAGCUAAUACCGGAUAACAUGUUGAACCGCAUGGUUCAACAGUGAAAGACGGUUUUGCUGUCACUUAUAGAUGGAUCCGCGCCGCAUUAGCUAGUUGGUAAGGUAACGGCUUACCAAGGCAACGAUGCGUAGCCGACCUGAGAGGGUGAUCGGCCACACUGGAACUGAGACACGGUCCAGACUCCUACGGGAGGCAGCAGUAGGGAAUCUUCCGCAAUGGGCGAAAGCCUGACGGAGCAACGCCGCGUGAGUGAAGAAGGUCUUCGGAUCGUAAAACUCUGUUAUUAGGGAAGAACAAAUGUGUAAGUAACUAUGCACGACUUGACGGUACCUAAUCAGAAAGCCACGGCUAACUACGUG